Molecule: ribosomal RNA, 493 nt
Filed under: uncultured bacterium
Lineage: Bacteria
Description: bacterial SSU rRNA
Rfam family: Bacterial small subunit ribosomal RNA
Source: RNAcentral
GACGAACGCUGGCGGCGUGCUUAACACAUGCAAGUUGAACGGAGGCUUUGUUUUCGGACGAAGCCUUAGUAGCGGACGGGUGAGUAACGCGUGAGCAACCUACCUUUGUGAGGGGGAUAACAGCUGGAAACGGCUGCUAAUACCGCAUGAGACCACGACCCCGCAUGGGGACGAGGUAAAAGAGGAAACUCGCACAGAGAUGGGCUCGCGUCCCAUUAGCUAGUUGGUGAGGUAACGGCUCACCAAGGCGACGAUGGGUAGCCGACCUGAGAGGGUGAUCGGCCACACUGGAACUGAGACACGGUCCAGACUCCUACGGGAGGCAGCAGUGGGGAAUAUUGGGCAAUGGGCGAAAGCCUGACCCAGCAACGCCGCGUGAGGGAGAAGGUCUUCGGAUUGUAAACCUCUGUCCUUGGGGACGAAGGACGUGACGGUACCCAAGGAGAAGCUCCGGCUAACUACGUGCCAGCAGCCGCGGUAAAAUAGCGUAACU